AGUGCUCUGCACCUGACCCCAGAUCUCCAUCAGAAUGCAGAAAAGAUUUUAUAAAAAAAAAGAAAACAAGAAGUUUGAAUUCCUGAAUGAUUUUUUUCUGCAGAUAGGGGCUUAGGAUAAUGAUUUGUGCUUUAUUGGGGCAGAUUAGUCACAGUGUCACUACUGUCUCUCAAUGUGCCCUGUACAUGUCUCUUCAAUGUGC
This is a non-coding RNA of Xenopus laevis (African clawed frog), 202 nucleotides long. Lineage: Eukaryota; Metazoa; Chordata; Amphibia; Anura; Pipidae. The record is from Rfam.